This 413-nucleotide ribosomal RNA is filed under the name uncultured soil bacterium. RNAcentral describes it as "bacterial SSU rRNA". It matches the Rfam family "Bacterial small subunit ribosomal RNA", at positions 94 to 547 of the family's 1533-position model. The record is from RNAcentral.
AGUGGCGAACGGGUGAGUAGCACGUGAGCAACUGCCCCGAAGACGGGAUAACACCGGGAAACCGGUGCUAAUACCGGAUAUCCCCACCGCAUGGAAAGGAUCGCUUCGGGAGGGGCUCGCGGCCUAUCAGCUUGUUGGUGAGGUAACGGCUCACCAAGGCUUCGACGGGUAGCUGGUCUGAGAGGACGAUCAGCCACACUGGGACUGAGACACGGCCCAGACUCCUACGGGAGGCAGCAGUAGGGAAUCUUGCGCAAUGGGCGAAAGCCUGACGCAGCAACGCCGCGUGAGGGACGAAGGCUUUCGAGUUGUAAACCUCUUUCAGCAGGAACGAUUGACGGUACCUGCAGAAGAAGCACCGGCCAACUACGUGCCAGCAGCCGCGGUGAUACGUAGGGUGCAAGCGUUGUCCG